Molecule: ribosomal RNA, 1161 nt
Filed under: Triticum aestivum (bread wheat)
Lineage: Eukaryota; Viridiplantae; Streptophyta; Magnoliopsida; Poales; Poaceae
Description: partial small subunit ribosomal RNA
Source: RNAcentral
AUGCACGGCCGCCGCCAUCUGGCGGCCUCCCUGGCGAGAACCCUGUCCCAGGCCCCCUCCCGCUCCAUCUCCUCCACCCCGUCCCUCCUCCAAACCCUUGACCCGACCCCGCAGUCCCCUCCCCUCGCCGCGCCCGCGGCGGGGCGGCUCGCGGAGAUGCGGAGGCGGCUGCAGGCGGAGACGCCGUCACUGGGGGACUUCGCGUACUCGGUGGAGGUGGGGACGCGGAAGAAGCCGCUGCCCAAGCCCAAGUGGAUGAAGGAGACGAUCCCCGGCGGGGCCAAGUACGCGGCCAUCAAGGCCAAGCUGCGGGAGCUGAAGCUGCACACCGUCUGCGAGGAGGCGCGCUGCCCCAACCUCGGCGAGUGCUGGUCGGGCGGCGAGACCGGCACCGCCACUGCCACCAUCAUGAUCCUCGGUGACACCUGCACGCGCGGAUGCAGAUUUUGCAAUGUCAAGACAUCACGAACCCCUCCUCCACCAGAUCCUAAUGAGCCUGCCAAUGUUGCGCAAGCUAUUGCAUCGUGGGGCCUUGAAUAUAUAGUCAUCACAAGUGUGGAUCGGGAUGAUUUACCUGAUCAGGGGAGUGGCCAUUUUGCUGAAACAGUACAGAGGCUGAAGACUUUAAAGCCAGAUAUGCUUAUUGAAGCGCUUGUGCCUGAUUUCCAAGGAGAUCGAAGUUGUGUAGAAAAGGUAGCAACUUCCGGUUUGCAUGUUUUUGCACACAAUAUUGAAACGGUGGAAGAGCUUCAAAGAAGUGUGCGAGACCACCGUGCAAAUUUUAAGCAAUCAAUGGAUGUUCUGAAAAUGGCGAAGGAGUAUGCCCCUCCUGGCACCCUCACAAAGACAUCAGUCAUGCUGGGUUGUGGGGAGACUCCCGAUCAGGUUAUCAGCACAAUGGAAAAGGUGCGAGCUGCUGGUGUUGAUGUCAUUACAUUUGGUCAGUACAUGAGGCCGUCAAAGCGACAUAUGCCAGUGUCUGAGUAUAUUACACCUGAAGCCUUCGAGAACUACCGCGCCCUUGGUGUUGAAAUGGGAUUCCGUUAUGUUGCAUCUGGUCCGAUGGUUCGGUCCUCUUACAAAGCAGGCGAAUUCUACAUCAAAGCCAUGAUCGAAGAUGACCGAGCAAAAUCAGGUGCUGUUGCAGACUCAAGUUGCUAG